Molecule: microRNA precursor, 96 nt
Filed under: Caenorhabditis sp. 23 AD-2012
Lineage: Eukaryota; Metazoa; Nematoda; Chromadorea; Rhabditida; Rhabditidae
Source: RNAcentral
CAUUACAAGUUUUUGGCAGAGUAUCAAAAUGAAACAGAACUUGAUACUUUGCAAAACCUUGAACUGCUUGUGGAAGACACACUUCAUAUUCAUCUG